RNAcentral lists this ribosomal RNA (2047 nucleotides) under metagenome. RNAcentral describes it as "bacterial LSU rRNA". It matches the Rfam family "Bacterial large subunit ribosomal RNA", at positions 1 to 1978 of the family's 2925-position model. The record is from RNAcentral.
UAAAGCUACAAAGAGCUUACGGUGAAUGCCUUGGUACUGACAGCCGAUGAAGGACGUGUAAAGCUGCGAUAAGCCACGGGGAGGUGCUAAAAUCCCUUGAUCCGUGGAAUUCCGAAUGGGGAAACCCUCUAAGGUUUGUACCUUAGAACUUCCGAAUGAAUCAAUAGUUCGGAUAGAGGAAAGCCUGUGAACUGAAACAUCUUAGUAACAGGACGAAAAGAAAAUAAACUAAUGAUUCCCAAAGUAGCGGCGAGCGAAAUGGGAAGAGCCUAAACUUUGUGUACGUGAUAGACUACAAUCGUUGUGCACAGAGGGUUGUGGGAGCUUCUGAAUAAGUUGUAGAUUAUUCAAAGAGUUACAAAGUUACUUGUUAGUUGAAUACAACUGGAAAGUUGAGCCAUAGACGGUGAUAGCCCGGUAAACGAAAACAAUUGACCUCUUGAAGAUUUCCCGAGUAAGGCGGGGCACGUGAAACCUUGUCUGAAUCCACCGGGACCAUCCGGUAAGGCUAAAUACUAGUCAGUAACCGAUAGUGAACGAGUACAGUGAUGGAAAGGCGAAAAGAACAGUGAGAAGCUGAGUGAAAUAGAACCUGAAACCGUUUGCUUACAAUCAGUCAGAGCACUAUUAAUAGUGUGAUGGCGUGCCUGUUGAAGAAUGAGCCGGCGAGUUAUCUUAUUUAGCGAGGUUAAGGGGUUUAUACCCGGAGCCAUAGCGAAAGCGAGUCUGAAUAGGGCGUUAAGUUAAAUGAGAUAGACCCGAACCUUGGUGAUCUAACCAUGACCAGAUUGAAACGUAGGUAACACUACGCGGAGGAUCGAACCGACUGAUGUUGAAAAAUCAGCGGAUGAGUUGUGGUUAGGGGUGAAAUGCCAAUCGAGCCAAGAGCUAGCUGGUUCUCCCCGAAAUGCGUUUAGGCACAGCGUCAGAUUUAUCUUGCAGGAGGUAGAGCACUAGUUUGGUGCGGGCCGAGGAACUCGGUACCAAAUCAUGUUAAACUCCGAAUGCCUGCAAUGUUACUGUCUGGCAGUGAGGCUAUGAGUGAUAAGAUCCAUGGCCAAGAGGGAAACAGCCCAGAACGCCAGUUAAGGUCCCUAAUAUAUGCUAAGUGAUUAAGGAGGUAGAAUUACUCUGACAACCAGGAGGUUGGCUUAGAAGCAGCCAUUCCUUGAAAGAGUGCGUAAUAGCUCACUGGUCAAGUGAUUCCGCGCCGAAAAUAUAGCGGGGCUAAGCAUAUAACCGAAACUGCGUCAUUAAGUUUACUUAAUGGGUAGGGGAGCGUUCUAUUGUAGGUCGAAGCUAGAUCGAAAGGACUAGUGGACGAAGUAGAAGUGAGAAUGUCGGCAUAAGUAGCGAAAACAUUGGUGAGAAUCCAAUGCACCGAAAACCUAAGGUUUCCCACGGCAGGCUCGUCCGCGUGGGGUUAGUCGGAACCUAAGCUCAGGCUGAAAAGCGUAGGCGAUGGACAUCAGGUUGAUAUUCCUGAACUGAUUGUCAGUCGUUAUCAGAAGCGGAGGGACGCAGGAGGAUAGGCAUGCACUCGAUCGGUUGUGAGUGUUUAAGCGUGUAGGCAGACCGGAUAGGAAAAUCCGUUCGGUCGUUAAACUGAGGCGUUAUGAGGAGGGUCUACGGACCCGAAGAUGUUGAUUCCACACUGCCAAGAAAAGCUUCGCUCUCGAGAAUAAUAAUCGUCCGUACCGUAAACCGCCACAGGUAGGUUGGUAGAAAAUACCAAGGUGCGCGAGUUAACUCUCUCUAAGGAACUCGGCAAAAUGGCCUCGUAACUUCGGGAGAAGAGGUACCCUGGUAGCGUGUAGCGAUUUACUCGUGAAGCGUGAUAGGGUCGCAGCGAAUCGAUCCAGGCGACUGUUUACCAAAAACACAGGUCUCUGCUAAGUCGUAAGACGAUGUAUAGGGGCUGACGCCUGCCCGGUGUCGGAAGGUUACGCGGAAGGGUUAGUCGUAAGACGAAGCUCCGAAGCUAAGCCCCGAUGAACGGCGGCCGUAACUAUAACGGUCCUAAGGUAGCGAAAUUCCUUGUCAGGUA